CAACCCUCAAGCCCCGCUUGGUGUUGGGGUCCUACGGCCCUCCCGCCGUAGGCCCCUAAAUGAAGUGGCGGGCUCGCUAAAGUCCUGAGCGCAGUAGCACAUCUCGCUUGUGGUAUUUGGCGGGUUCCGGCCGUUAAACCCCCAAUUUUUAGAA
This 154-nucleotide unclassified non-coding RNA is filed under the name uncultured Sordariomycetes. RNAcentral describes it as "sequence contains ITS2". The record is from RNAcentral. Lineage: Eukaryota; Fungi; Ascomycota; Sordariomycetes.